UACGUAGGGUGCAAGCGUUAAUCGGAAUUACUGGGCGUAAAGCGUGCGCAGGCGGUUCCAUAAGACAGAUGUGAAAUCCCCGGGGCCAACCUGGGAACUGCAUUUGUGACUGUGGGGCUAGAGUACGGUAGAGGGGGGUGGAAUUCCCCGUGUAGCAGUGAAAUGCGUAGAUAUGCGGAGGAACACCAAUGGCGAAGGCAAUCCCCUGGACCUGUACUGGCGCUCAUGCACGAAAGCGUGGGGAGCAAACAGG
RNAcentral lists this ribosomal RNA (253 nucleotides) under uncultured bacterium. Its description in RNAcentral is "partial 16S ribosomal RNA". It matches the Rfam family "Bacterial small subunit ribosomal RNA", at positions 524 to 776 of the family's 1533-position model. The record is from RNAcentral.